CCUACGGGAGGCAGCAGUGAGGCAUAUUGGUCAAUGGGCGGGAGCCUGAACCAGCCAAGUCGCGUGAAGGAAGAAGGUACUUAGUAUUGUAAACUUCUUUUGUCGGGGAACAAAGGCGGAGACGCGUCUCCGGAUGAGUGUACCCGAAGAACAAGCAUCGGCUAACUCCGUGCCAGCAGCCGCGGUAAUACGGAGGAUGCGAGCGUUAUCCGGAUUUAUUGGGUUUAAAGGGUGCGCAGGCGGGAGAUCAAGUCAGCGGUAAAAUGUCGGGGCUCAACCCCGGCCGGCCGUUGAAACUGGUUGUCUAGAGUUGGAGAGAAGUAUGCGGAAUUCGUGGUGUAGCGGUGAAAUGCAGAGAUAGCACGAAGAACUCCGAUUGCGAAGGCAGCAUACCGGCUCCAGACUGACGCUGAGGCACGAAAGCGUGGGGAUCGAACAGGAUUAGAUACCCCUGUAGUC
This 459-nucleotide ribosomal RNA is filed under the name uncultured bacterium. Its description in RNAcentral is "partial 16S ribosomal RNA". It matches the Rfam family "Bacterial small subunit ribosomal RNA", at positions 338 to 795 of the family's 1533-position model. The record is from RNAcentral.